Molecule: transfer RNA, 85 nt
Filed under: Myrmecia israelensis
Lineage: Eukaryota; Viridiplantae; Chlorophyta; Trebouxiophyceae; Trebouxiales; Trebouxiaceae
Description: Myrmecia israeliensis tRNA-Ile
Rfam family: tRNA
About the family: Transfer RNA (tRNA) molecules are approximately 80 nucleotides in length. Their secondary structure includes four short double-helical elements and three loops (D, anti-codon, and T loops). Further hydrogen bonds mediate the characteristic L-shaped molecular structure. tRNAs have two regions of fundamental functional importance: the anti-codon, which is responsible for specific mRNA codon recognition, and the 3' end, to which the tRNAs corresponding amino acid is attached (by aminoacyl-tRNA synthetases). tRNAs cope with the degeneracy of the genetic code in two manners: having more than one tRNA (with a specific anti-codon) for a particular amino acid; and 'wobble' base-pairing, i.e. permitting non-standard base-pairing at the 3rd anti-codon position.
Source: RNAcentral
GCAUACAUGGCUGAGCGGUCGAAAGCGGCAGACUCAUAAUCUGUUUCCGAAAAGGACAUCACAGGUUCGAACCCUGUUGUAUGCA